RNAcentral lists this transfer RNA (85 nucleotides) under Laribacter hongkongensis. Its description in RNAcentral is "tRNA-Leu". It matches the Rfam family "tRNA". Rfam says of the family: Transfer RNA (tRNA) molecules are approximately 80 nucleotides in length. The record is from RNAcentral. RNAcentral also lists the same sequence under 5 other names. Lineage: Bacteria; Pseudomonadati; Pseudomonadota; Betaproteobacteria; Neisseriales; Aquaspirillaceae.
GCCCGGGUGGCGAAAUCGGUAGACGCAGGGGACUCAAAAUCCCCCGCCGCAAGGCGUGUCGGUUCGAGUCCGACCCCGGGCACCA